AAAUCCAGCAAGGGGCACUCUCCAUCAAGAGAUAACCACAACCAUUCCUGCUGGAUUUCUGGCAGCUCUAAUGGCCCCACAAACAGACUGGCAGCAGAUUCCCAGGGAAUGGAAAUCCAGCAAGGGAUACUCCCCAUCGGCCAUUGCUUCUGGAUUUUUGGGAGCACUGACAGCCCCAAAACCAGCAGGGAGGGACCAGGAGAAUUCCCAGCAGCAGAUUCCCAGGGAAUGGAAAUCCAGCAAGGGAUACUCCCCAUCUCCUGGAUUUUUGGGAGCACUGACAGCCCCACAAAUAGCAGGGAGCAGGACAAUGCCCAGCAGAGACUUCCAAGGGAUGUUCUCCAUCCACCAGAGAUAACAACCAUAACCAUUUCUCAUGGAUUUUUGGGACGAUUGGCAGCCCCUAAACCAGCAGGGAGCAGGAGAAUUCCCAGCAGAGACCCCCAGGGAAUGGAAAUCCAGCAAGGGAUACUCCCCAUCAACCACUCUCCUGGAUUUUUGGGAGCAGUGAUGGCCCCACAAACACACCAGCAGCAGAGUCCCAGGGAAUGGAAAUCCCGGCAAGGAAUGCUCCCCAUCAACCAGAGAUAGUAACCAUAACCAUAACCAUAACCAUUCCUCCUGGAUUUUUGGGAGCACUGACAGCCCCUAAACCAUCAGGGACCAGGAGAAUUCCCAAGGAAUGGAAAUCCGGCAAGGAAUACUCCCCCCAUCAACCAUUCUUGCUGGAUUUUUGGGAGAAGUGAUGACCCCAAAAACAGCAGGGACCAAGAGAAUUCCCAAGGAAUGGAAAUCCAGCAAGGGAUACACCCCAUCAACCAUUCCUCCUGGAUUUUUGGGAGCACUGACAGCCCCUAAACCAGCAGGGACCAGGAAAAUUCCCAGGGAAUGGAAAUCCAGCAAGGAAUACUCCCCCCCAUCAACCAGUCCUCCUGGAUUUUUGGGAGCACUGACAGCCCCACAAAUAGCAGGGAGCAGGAGAAUUCCCAACAGAGAUUCCCAGGGAAUGGAAAUCCAGCAAGGAAUGUUCUCCAUCCACCAGAGAUAAUAACCAUAAGCAUUUCUCCUGGAUUUUUGGGACGAUUGGCAGCCCCUAAACCAGCAGGGACCAGGAGAAUUCCCAAGGAAUGGAAAUCCAGCAAGGAAUACUCCCCCCAUCAACCAUUCCUCCUGGAUUUUUGGGAGCAGUGAUGGCCCCAAAAACAGCAGGGACCAAGAGAAUUCCCAGAGAAUGGAAAUCCAGCAAGGGAUACUCCCCAUCAACCACUCUCCUGGAUUUUUGGGAACACUGACAGCCCCAAAAACAGCAGCGAGCAGGAGAAUUCCCAACAGAGAUUCCCAGGGAAUGGAAAUCCAGCAAGGGAUGUUCUCCAUCCACCAGAAAUAAUCAUAACCAUUUCUCAUGGAUUUUUGGGACGAUUGGCAGCCCCAAAACCAGCAGGGAGCAGGAGAAUUCCCAACAGAGAUUCCCAGGAAAUGGAAAUCCAGCAAGGGAUACCCCCCAUCAACCAUUCCUCCUGGAUUUUUGGGAGCAGUGAUGGCCCCAAAAACAGCAGGGAUCAGGAGAAUUCCCAGAGAAUGGAAAUCCAGC
This 1591-nucleotide long non-coding RNA is filed under the name Zonotrichia albicollis (white-throated sparrow). Its description in RNAcentral is "lncRNA (ENSZALG00000001901.1)". The record is from RNAcentral. Lineage: Eukaryota; Metazoa; Chordata; Aves; Passeriformes; Passerellidae.